UCUGCUGGCAAGCAGGCAGAAGGCUGUAU
Molecule: non-coding RNA, 29 nt
Filed under: Cricetulus griseus (Chinese hamster)
Lineage: Eukaryota; Metazoa; Chordata; Mammalia; Rodentia; Cricetidae
Source: RNAcentral